AAGUCAAGCCAUACCACCCUGAAAGCACCUGACCUCGUCUGGUCUCAGAAGCUAAGCAGAGUCAGGCCUGGUUAGUACUUGAAUGGGAGACUGCCUGGAAUACCAUGCCUUAGGCAAC
Loxodonta africana (African savanna elephant) is the source of this 118-nucleotide ribosomal RNA. The record is from Rfam. NCBI's taxonomy places the organism in Eukaryota, Metazoa, Chordata, Mammalia, Proboscidea, Elephantidae.